AUUGAACGCUGGCGGCAGGCCUAACACAUGCAAGUCGAGCGGAAACGAAGGGAGCUUGCUCCCAGGCGUCGAGCGGCGGACGGGUGAGUAACACGUGAGAAUCUGCCCAUAGUGGGGGACAACUCGGGGAAACUCGAGCUAAUACCGCAUAAUCCCUACGGGGGAAAGCAGGGGACCUUUUGGCCUUGCGCUGAUGGAUGAGCUCACGUCGGAUUAGCUUGUUGGUGAGGUAAAGGCUCACCAAGGCGACGAUCCGUAGCUGGUCUGAGAGGGUGAUCGGCCACACUGGAGCUGAGACACGGUCCAGACUCCUACGGGAGGCAGCAGUGGGGAAUUGUUCGCAAUGGGCGCAAGCCUGACGACGCAACGCCGCGUGGAGGACGAAGAUCUUCGGGUCGUAAACUCCUGUCGAGCGGGACGAAUGCCUUGCGGGUGAAUAAUCCGCGGGGGUGACGGUACCGCUAAAGGAAGCCCCGGCUAACUCCGUGCCAGCCGCCGCCGUAA
RNAcentral lists this ribosomal RNA (504 nucleotides) under uncultured bacterium. Its description in RNAcentral is "partial 16S ribosomal RNA". It matches the Rfam family "Bacterial small subunit ribosomal RNA", at positions 28 to 523 of the family's 1533-position model. The record is from RNAcentral.